This 83-nucleotide transfer RNA is filed under the name Archaeoglobus profundus. RNAcentral's name for it is "tRNA-Ser". It matches the Rfam family "tRNA". From Rfam's summary of the family: Transfer RNA (tRNA) molecules are approximately 80 nucleotides in length. Their secondary structure includes four short double-helical elements and three loops (D, anti-codon, and T loops). Lineage: Archaea; Methanobacteriati; Methanobacteriota; Archaeoglobi; Archaeoglobales; Archaeoglobaceae. The record is from RNAcentral.
GCCGGGGUUGCCGAGUGGUAAGGCGACGGCCUGCUAAGCCGUUGGGCGUAAUGCCCGCGUGGGUUCGAAUCCCACCCCCGGCG